UUAAUAACUCAUUGUUUUUAACUUUUGAUUAUUUGAAGAAUAAUGAAAUAAUAAUUAUUUUAAGUAUCAAUUUGUAAGAAAUAAUUGUUUUUGUAUAAAAAUCUUUUUUUUUGUUAAAAGAUAUUUAUGUCUUUGUUAAGAUUUGUGGAUUUAAAAGAAAAACAUAUGGACUUUAAAAGACUUUAAAAGACUUUAAACAUCAUAAAUUCCUUUUUCCUUUUGUUUAUAUUAAUAUUGUGGUUAAGAUUAAUUAUUGAGUUAUUGCACUUAAGUGCAGGAAAGUGUAACUUUUUAAGUUUCUCAUCUCUAUGUAUUGUCAUAUCUAUGGUCAUCUUCAUAUUGGAAAGGAAAAGGUAGCACUUUCCUUUCUGUUUUUGUCAGCCAUAAUGUAGACAUCAAAAUUUUUGUGCUCGUCACGUAUCUAUCGACAUCCAUGUCGAAAGUUGUGUAUUUACUACCGCAUUAGCGGUCCGGGAGUUGGCGACCUCUCGCUGCCCCAUGCCUGAGGUGUGAUCCAUAAGCUUCGCCCAUAACAUCUGGGCAUCCCAGGGCUUGUCCCGUGGUUCUACGGCGAUGGGAGCCGCCAACAAAUAUCCCAGGAAAGUUUUCGACGACUAAAUCCUAAGCAUGCAGCAUGGGUAGUUAACCUGUUUCGGCCACGCGUAUCUUGCAAUUUCAUCGACUAUUUCAUCAAACUACCCCUUUGGCAUCGUAAUCUACAUUUAAUUCCUGAGUAAUAUUUUAAUUCUUUCUGUAUCUUAAAUUUACGUUAAUUAUUUUGAAAAUGUAACUAAGUAAUAAUCAUUUUGAAAAAUGUAACUAAUUAAUCAUAUUGUGAAGAUGUAACUAAGUAAAAAAAAAAUGUUGGGGCCCCGUUUUGUUUUGAAUGUACGAAUACUCAAUUAAUACUCUUUAUUGUGUUUUAAAUAAAUAUGUUUUGUUAUGGCUGACCCGAUA
Long non-coding RNA from Bacillus rossius redtenbacheri, 957 nucleotides. RefSeq lists it as uncharacterized. The transcript is spliced from 2 exons. NCBI's taxonomy places the organism in Eukaryota, Metazoa, Arthropoda, Insecta, Phasmatodea, Bacillidae. The record is from RefSeq and is a predicted model, not a curated record.